UACGAACUGUGCGAACGUUAUUCGGAAUCACUGGGCUUAAAGGGUGCGUAGGCGGCGAUCCAAGUCAGAUGUGAAAUGCCUGAGCUCAACUGAGGCAUUGCGUUUGAAACUGAAUUGCUAGAGUAUUUCAGGGGUGCGCGGAACUGCCAGUGGAGCGGUGAAAUGUGUUGAUAUUGGCAGGAACACCGGAGGCGAAAGCGGCACACUGGGGAAUAACUGACGCUGAGGCACGAAGGCCAGGGGAGCGAACGGG
This 253-nucleotide ribosomal RNA is filed under the name uncultured bacterium. RNAcentral describes it as "partial 16S ribosomal RNA". It matches the Rfam family "Bacterial small subunit ribosomal RNA", at positions 524 to 776 of the family's 1533-position model. The record is from RNAcentral.